RNAcentral lists this ribosomal RNA (472 nucleotides) under uncultured bacterium. RNAcentral's name for it is "SSU rRNA". It matches the Rfam family "Bacterial small subunit ribosomal RNA", at positions 26 to 518 of the family's 1533-position model. The record is from RNAcentral.
AGGACGAACGCUGGCGGCGUGCUUAACACAUGCAAGUCGAGCGGAAAGGCCCUUCGGGGUACUCGAGCGGCGAACGGGUGAGUAACACGUGAGUAAUCUGCCCCUAGCUCUGGGAUAGCUCCGGGAAACCGGGAUUAAUACCGGAUACGACCACCUUAGACAUCUUUUGUGGUGGAAAGAAUUUCGGCUAGGGAUGAGCUCGCGGCCUAUCAGCUUGUUGGUGGGGUAAUGGCCUACCAAGGCGACGACGGGUAGCCGGCCUGAGAGGGCGACCGGCCACACUGGGACUGAGACACGGCCCAGACUCCUACGGGAGGCAGCAGUGGGAAUAUUGCGCAAUGGGCGAAAGCCUGACGCAGCGACGCCGCGUGGGGAUGAAGGCCUUCGGGUUGUAAACCCCUUUCAGCAGGGACGAAGCGAAAGUGACGGUACCUGCAGAAGAAGCGCCGGCUAACUACGCGCCAGCAGCCGC